UUUUAUGCGAACUCUCUUUAUCAUUUUGUGAUCUCAACAAAGUGGUUUUCUCAGGUUCGCAAUAAUAGCAAUCGAAUGUUAAACACCUGCCUAUUUCUAUCGUAAAUCGACGGGUGUGCCGCAUUUGUACAAUAACUAGGACCUUAGUG
Molecule: small nuclear RNA, 149 nt
Filed under: Cryptosporidium parvum
Lineage: Eukaryota; Apicomplexa; Conoidasida; Eucoccidiorida; Cryptosporidiidae
Source: RNAcentral